RNAcentral lists this long non-coding RNA (2522 nucleotides) under Homo sapiens (human). Its description in RNAcentral is "HSALNT0291242". Lineage: Eukaryota; Metazoa; Chordata; Mammalia; Primates; Hominidae. The record is from RNAcentral.
AAAAUGCAAAAAUUAGCUGGGCGUGGUGGUGUGUGCCUGUAGUCCCAGCUACUCAGGAGGCUGAGGCAGGAGAAUCGCUUGAACCCAGGAGGCAGAGGUUGCAGUGAGCUGAGAUUGCGCCACUGCACUCCAGCCUGGGUGACCUAGAGUGAGACUCAAUCUAAAAAAAAUAAACAGUUGUAUGAAUGUGAUCUCUUUCUUAAAAUAUCUUAUUGUACUAUACUCACCCUUCUUGUGAUGAUGUGAGAUGCUUAAAUGCCCAUGUGAUGAGAUGUGGUGAAUGACAUAGGCCUUGUAAUGCAGCCUUAGGCUCCUACUGACCUUGAACACAAGCCCACUGCAGUACUGCCACAGUCACUCUGAUAACCAAGACAGCUACUAAGUGACUAAUGGGCAGACAGUGUGUGCAGCAUGGAUAUGCUGGACAAAGGGAUGACUCCUAUCCAGCGAGACAGAGCAGGGUGACUCAAGAUUUCGUCACAACAUUCAGAAGGGCUUACAAUUUAAAACUUAUGAAUUGUUUAUUUCUGGAAUUUUCCAUUUAAUAUUUUCAGGCCACAGUUGACCAUGGGUAACUGAAACCUCAGAAAGUGAAACCAUGGAUGGGGUCAACUAAUGUCCUUUGGUAUGGUGGGAGUGUCGAGUAUGAAAUGGGAGGACAGAUGAGGCUACAGAUAAGCUUAGACUUUAUCCUCAAGGCAGUGGGCAGCCACUGAAGGCUUUUAAACAGAGCUGAGAAGUCGCUGUUAGAUUUUCUGGCAGGAGGUCACCAGUAACCUUGAACAGAGCAGUUUCUGGGAGGUAGGAGCAGAUGCAGAAUUCCAAGAGAACUGUGUUUUUCUUGUCAGACCGGGGCUCCCCAGGGAAUGCUAUGUUGCUCCCAUCAGACUGGUGUACAUCAAGGGUGUUGUGAUACUUCCAUCAAAUUGGUGGUUUCCCAGGACAUUGUGUGUUUCCCCAGAGGGCUAUGUGACCCUUCCCCAGGUACUUUCUCAAAGGGUCUUGAGUCUCUCCCAUCAGACUGAGGAAUCCUCAAAGCUAAGAAACCAUUUUAGGCUGGGCGCGGUGGCUCAUGCCUGUAAUCCCAGCACUUUGGGAGGCCGAGGUGGGCGGAUCACAAGGUCAGGAGUCCGAGACCAUUCUGGCCAACAUGGUGAAACCUAACAAUGCAAAAACUAGCUGGGUGUGGUGGCGGUCGCCUGUAGUCCCAGCUACUCUGGAGGCUGAGGCAGAAGAAUCACUUAAACCCGGGAGGCGGAGGUUGCAGUGAGCUGAGAUCGCACCACUGCACUCCAGCCUGGAGACAGAGCAAGAUUCCGUCUCAAAAAAAAAAAAAAACCAUUUCAUGGACAGAACGAGACGCUGUCUCAAAGAUUAGGAACUCCUCUGUGGGUCGUGUGUGCCGUGAGACUGGACUCCCUAAAGGGCUCUGUGUCCCUUUUAUCAGAUGGGCUCUUUACAGGAUUCUGUGUCUCCCUCAUUGGUCUUGAGCACUUGCUCCCUGGCUGUACUUGGCAAGGGCUUGAGCUGGAAAAGAUGACCAGACUCCCACCGCCCAGAGGGCGUCCCCUGCAGGAGAGCUUCAUGCGCCUGGUGGAGGCCUGUGGGGACUCGGAGCAAAGCAUGGACAACUGGCUGAGUCGGCUGGACGGCUGCCGCUGACUGUAACAUGUAAAGCAGGCACUGAGCACCACCUGCCUGGCAGUCCAGGGCAUGGAGAGGUAAGGCCCCAUUGACAUAGAGAAUAGGGUGAGAUGGGCAGGGCUCUCAACCCCUGGAUGCAAAACUGUGAUUCAGUAAGCAAAUAUAGCCUAGAACUGGGUCCAUUCUAUUCCUGGCCUGGUACAUGGGGCUGAAGGCACAGACAGCACCCUGCUUGUGACUUCACUGGCCCAACUCAUCCUGGACCCCUUGAGCAAGACCAUGGCUGGAUUCCAGGAACUGGUGGAGUGGAAGUGGAUCCAGGAAAAUGCCGUGUGAAGGGAGGACUCAGAUGCACUCCCUGUGGUCUGGGCUCAACCAGCCAAAAGAGCAACAAAGACUCCAGAACCCACUCUACCUCCUCAAUCCCUUGGCCAUCUGUGGAGCCCCAGAGCCUGCGGCUGUGGCAAGGCCUGUUUCUGCGCUGGACCUGCUCACCUGAGCCUGCAGAAGCUGCAUGGGGGAAGAGUGUGGCAAAUAGUGACAGGAAGGGAGAAGACAGAAGCCUCUCAGCCAACUGCUUCAGCCGAGCCCCUAUUCUAAGCACUGGCUCCUUGGAUAGCAGCUGAGAUGUUCCUGAAACCUCUGCAGGCCCCUUAGGACCUUUACACCUUGGAUGAGGGUGCCUGCAACCCAGGUUAGCCAAAAGUACUGAGGGUCUUAAGUUUGAAGUGUCCAAAGUAUAGGGAGGUCUCAAUAAUAAAAGUCUCCAUGAUCAGCAUCAGCUUGCUGGGGUGUCAGUGAAAAGGAAAAAUGAUGAAACAGACACCACAAAAUAUCUGACCAGAAGCCAUUUAUUACCAAACCAAUUUAUUUCUUAG